Molecule: ribosomal RNA, 342 nt
Filed under: uncultured bacterium
Lineage: Bacteria
Description: bacterial SSU rRNA
Rfam family: Bacterial small subunit ribosomal RNA
Source: RNAcentral
GCCAGCCCGCUCAGUCAGAGUUUGAUCCUGGCUCAGGACGAACGCUGGCGGCGUGCUUAACACAUGCAAGUCGAACGGAAAGGCCCUGCUUUUGUGGGGUGCUCGAGUGGCGAACGGGUGAGUAACACGUGAGUAACCUGCCCUUGACUUUGGGAUAACUUCAGGAAACUGGGGCUAAUACCGGAUAGGAGCUCCUGCUGCAUGGUGGGGGUUGGAAAGUUUCGGCGGUUGGGGAUGGACUCGCGGCUUAUCAGCUUGUUGGUGGGUAGUGCUUACCAAGGCUUUGACGGGUAGCCGGCCUGAGAGGGUGACCGGCCACAUUGGGACUGAGAUACGGCCCAG